Molecule: ribosomal RNA, 498 nt
Filed under: uncultured bacterium
Lineage: Bacteria
Description: bacterial SSU rRNA
Rfam family: Bacterial small subunit ribosomal RNA
Source: RNAcentral
AACGCUGGCGGAGGCUUAACACAUGCAAGUCGAGCGGUAACAUUUCUAGCUUGCUAGAAGAUGACGAGCGGCGGACGGGUGAGUAACGCGUAGGAAUCUGCCUAGUAGUGGGGGACAACAUGUGGAAACGCAUGCUAAUACCGCAUACGCCCUACGGGGGAAAGGAGGGGAUCUUCGGACCUUUCGCUAUUAGAUGAGCCUGCGUGUGAUUAGCUAGUUAGUGGGGUAAAGGCCUACCAAGGCGACGAUCUCUAGCUGGUCUGAGAGGAUGAUCAGCCACACUGGGACUGAGACACGGCCCAGACUCCUACGGGAGGCAGCAGUGGGGAAUAUUGGACAAUGGGCGCAAGCCUGAUCCAGCCAUGCCGCGUGUGUGAAGAAGGCCUUAGGGUUGUAAAGCACUUUCAGGAGUGAGGAAGGGUGUACGGUUAAUACCCGUAUAUUUUGACGUUAACUCCAGAAGAAGCACCGGCUAACUCUGUGCCAGCAGCCGCGGUA